Arabidopsis thaliana (thale cress) is the source of this 409-nucleotide long non-coding RNA. RefSeq annotates it as other RNA. Lineage: Eukaryota; Viridiplantae; Streptophyta; Magnoliopsida; Brassicales; Brassicaceae. The record is from RefSeq. The transcript has 2 exons.
UGCUGACAAAACCCGACCCUAAUAGCUUGCUAUGACGAGGACGUGAUGUUUUGCUACAUUUUCUAUAGAUGUUACAACACUUGUGUUUUAACCAAUCAUUCCCUCAAGGGUGUGCCUAUUCAAGCUGAUGGUGAUGGAGGGACAUGGUAGAGAACGGCGUCAUAGAGGAAGACGUUCUCGUGUGGUGAGAUAUCUCGUUCAUAGUCAUUUUGUUUUAAGGUUCUCCCAAAUCUUAAAACGUUUUACUCAACAUUUACAACCACAUGUCGAGCUAGACUUAUAACUACGCCUUGGAGCUGGUCCUCCUUGCCAGCCUUACCAAGCUGGAGGUUAACAUUGCUGGAAUCAACAAUAGCUUUUAUUUAGUGGCGGGGCUUCAAUCAACAAUAGGUUAUGUCCAUGUCAGAAG